CCUACGGGGGCAGCAGUGGGGAAUUUUGGACAAUGGGGGCAACCCUGAUCCAGCCAUGCCGCGUGAGUGAAGAAGGCCUUCGGGUUGUAAAGCUCUUUCGGCUGGGAAGAAAUCGCAUCUCCUAAUACGGGGUGUGGAUGACGGUACCAGCAUAAGAAGCACCGGCUAACUACGUGCCAGCAGCCGCGGUAAUACGUAGGGUGCGAGCGUUAAUCGGAAUUUCUGGGCGUAAAGCGUGCGCAGGCGGGUUAAAUCCCCGGGCUCAACCUGGGAACUGCCGUUGUGACUGCGAGGCUAGAGUAUGGCAGAGGGGGGUGGAAUUCCACGUGUAGCAGUGAAAUGCGUAGAGAUGUGGAGGAACACCGAUGGCGAAGGCAGCCCCCUGGGCCAAUACUGACGCUCAUGCACGAAAGCGUGGGGAGCAAACAGGAUUAGAUACCCUAGUAGUC
RNAcentral lists this ribosomal RNA (449 nucleotides) under uncultured bacterium. RNAcentral describes it as "partial 16S ribosomal RNA". It matches the Rfam family "Bacterial small subunit ribosomal RNA", at positions 338 to 795 of the family's 1533-position model. The record is from RNAcentral.